GACGAACGCUGGCGGCGUGCUUAACACAUGCAAGUCGAACGGAAAGGCCCUGCUUUUGUGGGGUGCUCGAGUGGCGAACGGGUGAGUAACACGUGAGUAACCUGCCCUUGACUUUGGGAUAACUUCAGGAAACUGGGGCUAAUACCGGAUAGGAGCUCCUGCUGCACGGUGGGGGUUGGAAAGAUUCGGCGGUUGGGGAUGGACUCGCGGCUUAUCAGCUUGUUGGUGGGGUAGUUGCUUACCAAGGCUUUGACGGGUAGCCGGCCUGAGAGGGUGACCGGCCACAUGAGGACUAAGGUACGGCCCAGACUCCUACGGGAGGCAGCAGUGGGGAAUAUUGCACAAUGGGCGGAAGCCUGAUGCAGCAACGCCGCGUGCGGGAUGACGGCCUUCGGGUUGUAAACCGCUUUCGACUGUGACGAAGCGUGAGUGACGGUAAUGAGUAAAGAAGCACCGGCUAACUACGUG
Molecule: ribosomal RNA, 468 nt
Filed under: uncultured bacterium
Lineage: Bacteria
Description: partial 16S ribosomal RNA
Rfam family: Bacterial small subunit ribosomal RNA
Source: RNAcentral